GAUGAACGCUGGCGGCGUGCCUAAUACAUGCAAGUCGAGCGAACAGACGAGGAGCUUGCUCCUCUGACGUUAGCGGCGGACGGGUGAGUAACACGUGGAUAACCUACCUAUAAGACUGGGAUAACUUCGGGAAACCGGAGCUAAUACCGGAUAAUAUAUUGAACCGCAUGGUUCAAUAGUGAAAGACGGUUUUGCUGUCACUUAUAGAUGGAUCCGCGCCGCAUUAGCUAGUUGGUAAGGUAACGGCUUACCAAGGCAACGAUGCGUAGCCGACCUGAGAGGGUGGAGGCCCACACGGAAACUAAGACCGGGACGGCGCCCCUGGGGGGGGCGGCGAGAGGGACUCUUCGUCAGGGGGAGAAGACUGGAGGGAGCACCGCCGGGGGAGAGAGAAAGGUUUUGGAAUCGUAAAACUCUUUUAUGAGGAAAAAAAAAUUGGAAAAGUAAUUAUACACUUCUGAAGGUUCCCUAAUAAGAAAGCCACGACAACCUCGGUC
This 497-nucleotide ribosomal RNA is filed under the name uncultured bacterium. RNAcentral describes it as "partial 16S ribosomal RNA". It matches the Rfam family "Bacterial small subunit ribosomal RNA", at positions 28 to 507 of the family's 1533-position model. The record is from RNAcentral.